This 835-nucleotide ribosomal RNA is filed under the name uncultured bacterium. RNAcentral's name for it is "bacterial SSU rRNA". It matches the Rfam family "Bacterial small subunit ribosomal RNA", at positions 673 to 1504 of the family's 1533-position model. The record is from RNAcentral.
GUGUAGCGGUGAAAUGCGUAGAUAUUGGGAGGAACACCAGUGGCGAAGGCGGCUACCUGGACCGGAACUGACGCUGAUGCGCGAAAGCGUGGGUAGCAAACAGGAUUAGAUACCCUGGUAGUCCACGCUGUAAACGAUGGGUGCUCGGUGUCGCGGGUAUCGACCCCUGCGGUGCCUUAGCCAACGCGUUAAGCACCCCGCCUGGGGAGUACGGUCGCAAGGCUGAAACUCAAAGAAAUUGACGGGGGCCCGCACAAGCGGUGGAGCAUGUGGUUUAAUUCGACGCAACGCGAAGAACCUUACCUGGGUUUGACAUGCAUUAGGUAGGCGAUGAAAGUCGCCUUCCCUUCGGGGCUAAUGCACAGGUGCUGCAUGGCUGUCGUCAGCUCGUGUCGUGAGAUGUUGGGUUAAGUCCCGCAACGAGCGCAACCCUCGCCCUCUGUUGCCAUCAGGUUAUGCUGGGCACUCUGAGGGGACUGCCUCGGUGAACGGGGAGGAAGGUGGGGAUGACGUCAAGUCCUCAUGGCCUUUAUGCCCAGGGCUACACACGUGCUACAAUGGUUAGUACAAUGGGUUGCUAUCUUGUAAAAGACCGCUAAUCCCAAAAAACUAACCUCAGUUCGGAUGGUAGGCUGCAACUUGCCUGCUUGAAGCUGGAAUCGCUAGUAAUCGGAGAUCAGAACGCUCCGGUGAAUACGUUCCCGGGCCUUGUACACACCGCCCGUCACACCACGAAAGCUGCGUGUACCAGAAGUCAUUGUGCUAACCCCAAUGGGGAGGCAAGUGCCUAAGGUAUGCGUGGUGAUAGGGGUGAAGUCGUAACAAGGUAACCGUA